AUGCAAGUCGAACGGAGCUGAGAGGAGCUUGCUUUUCUUAGCUUAGUGGCGAACGGGUGAGUAACGCGUGAGUAACCUGCCCUGGAGUGGGGGGACAACAGUUGGAAACGACUGCUAAUACCGCAUAAGCCCACGGCCCGGCAUCGGGCUGAGGGAAAAGGAUUUAUUCGCUUCAGGAUGGACUCGCGUCCAAUUAGCUAGUUGGUGAGGUAACGGCCCACCAAGGCGACGAUUGGUAGCCGGACUGAGAGGUUGAACGGCCACAUUGGGACUGAGACACGGCCCAGACUCCUACGGGAGGCAGCAGUGGGGGAUAUUGCACAAUGGGGGAAACCCUGAUGCAGCGACGCCGCGUGGAGGAAGAAGGUUUUCGGAUUGUAAACUCCUGUCGUUAGGGACGAUAAUGACGGUACCUAACAAGAAAGCACCGGCUAACUACGUGCCAGCAGCCGCGGUAAAACGUAGGGUGCAAGCGUUGUCCGGAAUUACUGGGUGUAAAGGGAGCGCAGGCGGACCGGCAAGUUGGAAGUGAAAACUAUGGGCUCAACCCAUAAAUUGCUUUCAAAACUGCUGGCCUUGAGUAGUGCAGAGGUAGGUGGAAUUCCCGGUGUAGCGGUGGAAUGCGUAGAUAUCGGGAGGAACACCAGUGGCGAAGGCGACCUACUGGGCACCAACUGACGCUGAGGCUCGAAAGCAUGGGUAGCAAACAGGAUUAGAUACCCUGGUAGUCCACACCGUAAACGAUGAUUACUAGGUGUUGGAGGAUUGACCCCUUCAGUGCCGCAGUUAACACAAUAAGUAAUCCACCUGGGGAGUACGACCGCAAGGUUGAA
RNAcentral lists this ribosomal RNA (833 nucleotides) under uncultured bacterium. Its description in RNAcentral is "bacterial SSU rRNA". It matches the Rfam family "Bacterial small subunit ribosomal RNA", at positions 55 to 898 of the family's 1533-position model. The record is from RNAcentral.